Molecule: ribosomal RNA, 774 nt
Filed under: uncultured Neocallimastigales
Lineage: Eukaryota; Fungi; Neocallimastigomycota; Neocallimastigomycetes; Neocallimastigales
Description: partial large subunit ribosomal RNA
Rfam family: Eukaryotic large subunit ribosomal RNA
Source: RNAcentral
CGCAUCUGUGCAUGCAGCAUAUCAAUAAGCGGAGGAAAAGAAACUAACAAGGAUUCCCCUAGUAACGGCGAGUGAAGCGGGAAGAGCUCAAAUUUGAAAUCUUAAAGGGUUUCCCUUUACGAAUUGUAGUUUAAAGAAGUGUUUUCUGUUGAGGUUUUGGUAAAAGUUCUUUGGAAUAGGACAUCAUAGAGGGUGAGAAUCCCGUAUUUGACCUUUACUUUCAACUUUGUGAUACACUUUCAAAGAGUCGGAUUGUUUGGGAAUGCAGUCCAAAAUGGGUGGUAAAUUUCAUCUAAAGCUAAAUAUUGGCGAGAGACCGAUAGCGAACAAGUACCGUGAGGGAAAGAUGAAAAGAACUUUGAAAAGAGAGUUAAACAGUACGUGAAAUUGUCAAAAGGGAAGCGUUUGACACCAGUGUUGUUUUUCUGAAAAUCAAUUAAAGAACUGUUUAUGCUAAGUUGUUUAGACUUUAUCAGCUAACUGUUUAGUUUUGAGCUUUUCUUUAAUGCACUUUUCAGUUAACAAGUCAACAUCAAUUUCUUUUGCUGUAAAAAAGCUUGAGGAAGGUGGCUUGAGAUUCGUCUUAAGUGUUUAUAGCCUCUUGCCUAUGCAGUCGGAGAGAUUGAGGUCUGCAGCGUAGAUCCUUCGGGGCUAAAUGCAUUUGUGCUAAGUUAUAGCAUUUUAUAGACAACUUGUUGACUAUGAUUUGUCUUGUAGCUUACUCGCUUAUGUUAUUUUACCUACGCUUAGGAUGUUGAACGCGCACAGAGUCUC